GACGAACCGUCCUAACGUUAUUCGGAUUCACUGGGCUUAAAGGGCGCGUAGGCGGACGAGCAAGUCCGGGGUGAAAUCUUUCGGCUUAACCGGAAAAGUGCCUUGGAUACUGCUCGUCUUGAGGGAGGUAGGGGCAUGUGGAACUUCCGGUGGAGCGGUGAAAUGCGUUGAUAUCGGAGGGAACGCCGGUGGCGAAAGCGACGUGCUGGCCCUCUUCUGACGCUGAGGCGCGAAAGCUAGGGGAGCAAACGGG
Molecule: ribosomal RNA, 253 nt
Filed under: uncultured bacterium
Lineage: Bacteria
Description: partial 16S ribosomal RNA
Rfam family: Bacterial small subunit ribosomal RNA
Source: RNAcentral